RNAcentral lists this ribosomal RNA (400 nucleotides) under uncultured bacterium. Its description in RNAcentral is "bacterial SSU rRNA". It matches the Rfam family "Bacterial small subunit ribosomal RNA", at positions 355 to 747 of the family's 1533-position model. The record is from RNAcentral.
UGGGGAAUAUUGCACAAUGGGCGCAAGCCUGAUGCAGCGACGUUGCGUGGAGGAAGAAGGUCUUCGGAUUGUAAACUCCUGUUAAACGGGAAGAAAGACGUCAGGGUAAUAUCCUGACGGGAUGACGUUACCGUUAGAGAAAGUACCGGCAAACUUCGUGCCAGCAGCCGCGGUAAUACGAAGGGUACGAGCGUUAUUCGGAGUUACUGGGCGUAAAGGGCGCGUAGGCGGUUUGAUAAGUCGUCUGUUAAAUUCCACGGCAUAACUGUGGGUACGCAGAUGAGACUGUCAGGCUAGAGGGUGGAAGAGAGAAGUGGAAUUCUCGGAGUAGCGGUAAAAUGCGUAGAUCUCGAGAGGAACACCGAAGGCGAAGGCAGCUUCUUGGUCCACAACUGACGCU